AAUCAACGCUGGCGGCGUGCCUCAGACAUGCAAGUCGAACGCGAAAUUUCCCUUCGGGGAGAAAGUAGAGUGGCGCACGGGUGAGUAACACGUAGGUAAUUUGCCUUUGGGUGGGGAAUAACUCAGGGAAACUUGAGCUAAUAUCGCAUAAUGCAGCGGCUCGACAUCGAGACAGUUGUUAAAGCGGGGGAUUGGAGCAAUCCGACCUCGCGCCUAAAGAGAAGCCUGCGGCAGAUUAGCUAGUUGGUAAGGUAAUGGCUUACCAAGGCGACGAUCUGUAACCGGCCUGAGAGGGCGGUCGGUCACACUGACACUGACAUACGGGUCAGACUCCUACGGGAGGCAGCAGUCGGGAAUUUUGGGCAAUGGGCGCAAGCCUGACCCAGCAACGCCGCGUGAAGGAU
This 404-nucleotide ribosomal RNA is filed under the name uncultured bacterium. Its description in RNAcentral is "bacterial SSU rRNA". It matches the Rfam family "Bacterial small subunit ribosomal RNA", at positions 32 to 409 of the family's 1533-position model. The record is from RNAcentral.